Molecule: ribosomal RNA, 253 nt
Filed under: uncultured bacterium
Lineage: Bacteria
Description: partial 16S ribosomal RNA
Rfam family: Bacterial small subunit ribosomal RNA
Source: RNAcentral
UACAGAGGGUGCGAGCGUUAAUCGGAAUUACUGGGCGUAAAGGGCGUGUAGGUGGUUGCUUAAGUUGCCUGUGAAAUACCUGGGCUUAACCUGGGGAUGUCAGUCAAAACUGAGCGACUCGAGUAGGAGAGAGGGAAGUGGAAUUUCCGGUGUAGCGGUGAAAUGCGUAGAUAUCGGGAGGAACACCAGUGGCGAAGGCGGCGAUCUGGGAAGAUACUGACGCUGAGGUGCGAAAGCGUGGGGAGCAAACAGG